UAAAAAACUUCCCAAUUCGACUACUCGACGAUCUUUUAUAUUCUGCCCUACGGGGAAGGAUGAGAAGCUUCGACUAAGGUUCGACUCGAGCGUAGCGAGAGAACGUUGCCGCAGGCAACGGCCCGAAGGGCGAGGCGCUUUAGCGCCGAGUCAUCCUUCCCCCACCACCA
This 170-nucleotide unclassified non-coding RNA is filed under the name Klebsiella quasipneumoniae subsp. quasipneumoniae. RNAcentral describes it as "RtT". The stretch from base 39 to 170 matches the Rfam family "RtT RNA". From Rfam's summary of the family: This family represents a bacterial cis-regulatory element known as RtT RNA. Lineage: Bacteria; Pseudomonadati; Pseudomonadota; Gammaproteobacteria; Enterobacterales; Enterobacteriaceae. The record is from RNAcentral.